Molecule: ribosomal RNA, 274 nt
Filed under: uncultured bacterium
Lineage: Bacteria
Description: partial 16S ribosomal RNA
Rfam family: Bacterial small subunit ribosomal RNA
Source: RNAcentral
UACGGCGUGUGCGAGCGUUAAUCGGAAUUACUGGGCGUAAAGGGCGCGUAGGCGGCUGAUCAAGUCAGGUGUGAAAGCCCACGGCUUAACCGUGUGAAGUGCAUCUGAAACUGGUCGGCUUGAGUAUCGGAGAGGAAAGUGGAAUUCCCGGUGUAGAGGUGAAAUUCGUAGAUAUCGGGAGGAAUACCGGUGGCGAAGGCGACUUUCUGGACGAAUACUGACGCUGAGGCGCGAAAGCGUGGGGAGCACACAGGAGGCGAUAACCGUGUAGUCC